RNAcentral lists this unclassified non-coding RNA (245 nucleotides) under Hevea brasiliensis (rubber tree). Lineage: Eukaryota; Viridiplantae; Streptophyta; Magnoliopsida; Malpighiales; Euphorbiaceae. The record is from RNAcentral.
UAAUGAUAGACAAAUCAAUGGGUUAUGGGAGGAAAUGGCAGAGGCAAGGAAACAUCUAGAUAAAUUGGAAACCAUCAAAGGAUUACUCAACUCUUUGGUAAAAGGUAAGUCCACUACUGACGACUUGAAAGCUGGCACUGUUGCACAACUGUUAAGGGCCCUCGCGUAGGAUCGAGUUAAUGGACGAUGAAUAGGGUAAUCCUCCUCAGAUCGAGAAGACAUUCCCUUGCUGAUGUUCCUGCCUU